This 445-nucleotide ribosomal RNA is filed under the name uncultured Anaerolineae bacterium. Its description in RNAcentral is "bacterial SSU rRNA". It matches the Rfam family "Bacterial small subunit ribosomal RNA", at positions 337 to 798 of the family's 1533-position model. Lineage: Bacteria; Bacillati; Chloroflexota; Anaerolineae. The record is from RNAcentral.
GCCUACGGGUGGCAGCAGGGGGGAAUAUUGGACAAUGGGGUAAACCCUGAUCCAGCAACGCCGCGUGGGCGAAGAAGGCCUUCGGGUUGUAAAGCCCUUUUCUGAGGGAAGAGGAAGGACGGUACCUCAGGAAUAAGUCUCGGCUAACUACGUGCCAGCAGCCGCGGUAAAACGUAGGAGGCGAGCGUUAUCCGGAUUUACUGGGCGUAAAGGGCAAGUAGGCGGUGGCCAAAGUUGGGCGUGACAUCUCCCGGCUCAACUGGGAGGGGUCGUCCAAAACUAGGUCACUAGAGGGCAGGAGAGGGAAGCGGAAUUCCUAGUGUAGCGGUGGAAUGCUCAGAUAUUAGGAAGAACACCAGUGGCGAAGGCGGCUUCCUGGCCUGUACCUGACGCUGAGAGGCGAAAGCUAGGGGAGCGAACGGGCUUAGAUACCCGGGUAGUCAGA